Molecule: long non-coding RNA, 319 nt
Organism: Orcinus orca (killer whale)
Lineage: Eukaryota; Metazoa; Chordata; Mammalia; Artiodactyla; Delphinidae
Exons: 3
Source: RefSeq, a predicted model, not a curated record
CAAAGUAGUUACCUUCUCUGGACACCCCUGUAAAAGAGGAACACUAAGUAGCACCUACGUACCUUACUGAAAGGAUUAAAUGAGCAAAUGCAGAUGUUGACUGAGCCUCAGAGGGGUUACAAAAGCACCUAAGAUCCCGUUGUCAGUACAUGACGGAAAUGAGUUCAAAUCCAGCCUGCCUGACUUGUUCUUAAUCACUAAGACUUACAUCUCGGAUAAAGACUGAAGUUCAGAGACUUGGUGUUUAACAACUUGGAAUCCUUCCCUCUUGGUUGAUAAUUUGUAAAUGUUGGCUGAAUAAAUGAAUUAUACAGUUCUU